RNAcentral lists this ribosomal RNA (488 nucleotides) under uncultured bacterium. RNAcentral's name for it is "partial 16S ribosomal RNA". It matches the Rfam family "Bacterial small subunit ribosomal RNA", at positions 28 to 507 of the family's 1533-position model. The record is from RNAcentral.
GACGAACGCUGGCGGCGUGCUUAACACAUGCAAGUCGAACGGAAAGGCCCUGAUUUUGUGGGGUUCUCGAGUGGCGAACGGGUGAGUAACACAUGAGUAACCUGCACUUGACAUUCGGGUAACUUCAGGGAACAGGGGCUAAUAUCGGGUAGAAGCUACUGCAGCAUGGUGGGGGAUGGAAAGAGUCGGCUGUGGGGGAUGUACUAGCGGCGUAGCAGCUAGUUGGUGGGGUAGUGGCUUACCAGGGGUUCGACGGGUAGCCGACCUGAUAGGGUGAUCGGCUACACUGGAACUGAGACACGGUCCAGGCUCCUACGGGAGGCAGCAGUAGGGAAUGGUCGGCAGUGGGCGAAAGCUUGACGGAGCAACGCCGCGCGAGUGAUGAAGGUCUUCGGAUCGUAAAACUCUGUUAGUGGGGAAGAACCAAUGUGUAAGUAACUAUGCACGGCUUGACGGUACCUAAUAAGAAAGCCACGGCUAACUACGUG